AAGAACUUGCCUCUUAGACCGGGACAACAUCUGGAAACGGAUGCUAAUACCGGAUAUUAUGGUUUUUUCGCAUGGAGGAAUCAUGAAAGCUAGAUGCGCUAAGAGAGAGCUUUGCGUCCCAUUAGCUGGUUGGUGAGGUAACGGCCCACCAAGGCAAUGAUGGGUAGCCGGCCUGAGAGGGUGAACGGCCACAAGGGGACUGAGACACGGCCCUUACUCCUACGGGAGGCAGCAGUGGGGA
This 241-nucleotide ribosomal RNA is filed under the name Fusobacterium necrophorum. RNAcentral describes it as "partial 16S ribosomal RNA". It matches the Rfam family "Bacterial small subunit ribosomal RNA", at positions 120 to 360 of the family's 1533-position model. Lineage: Bacteria; Fusobacteriati; Fusobacteriota; Fusobacteriia; Fusobacteriales; Fusobacteriaceae. The record is from RNAcentral.